Drosophila eugracilis is the source of this 7476-nucleotide long non-coding RNA. RefSeq lists it as uncharacterized. The record is from RefSeq and is a predicted model, not a curated record. NCBI's taxonomy places the organism in Eukaryota, Metazoa, Arthropoda, Insecta, Diptera, Drosophilidae. The transcript is spliced from 2 exons.
GAGAAGUGGAGAAAAUUAUAUUAAGAUAUUUAUGUUUAUUAAGAGAAAUGUCGUACUGCAUAUUUAUAGAUAUAAUUUAUAUAUAUAUAGCAAUGCCUUUUUGCAUUUUAAAUAAAUGCCGAUAUCAUGUACUUGCAUACCGUCUUUAUAGUUAUUUUUACCUUCACAACUUUAAUUUAAUUUUAUAAAAUGAAACUACGACAUAAGUUUUCGCUUUCAAACAUAUAUUAUUCUGAUAAAAAGAGUAAUCAUGAUAGAAAUUAUAUUGAAAUUCGUUUUAAAUUAUUAUUUUCUUGACUUAAAGAAGAUAAACUUUCGUAACCUAUAAAACUAAGCUACCCAAAACUUAUAUCUUUUCUCUGCAGUUUAGUGACCUAUAAAUCGACAUUUUCAGCGGUAGCCUCAGAAGAUAAACUGUAAUUAUAGCCCAUUGGAUUGUUUAUAACGGGCGCCCGCGGGAGGUCACAUCAGCCACCGCAUUUAGUCGGUGGGUUAAUUAAGGGAAAUUAAAUGGAAAUCGAAACCAAGGCAGACUUCUGGUGCUGUUUGUUGUUGUUUUAGCAGAAUGCACUAGGCCAUCAUAACGGCGUGUGUUUGUGUUUGCCUUUAUCAUUUUCAUUUUCGCAGCUCAAAUUCAUCAGGGGAUUUCCUGGCGAAGGGAGAGAGGGUGUUGAGGGGACAGCUGCACCGAUGAUGGGUUAAAUUAAAAGCUGGCAAUUCGCAUUCACGGCCUCUCUCCUCUCCUUUCGUUUCUGGUUCCCCUACAUAAUUACCAACAUAAGGCCAGGGGCGUAGGCGAAAGGGGUUGUAAGAGAGAAUUUGUUUAACGUUGUCUCCACUGAUAAGACUUUAAGUUGUAUUAAUCAUAGGGUAGUUUAAUAACAAAACUACAUCUAGUAAACUGUUGAAGAUCUAUUUAGUGAUAGUUGAGCUUAGAACUCAAACAAAAGGUUGCAUUCUAUAUCUAAACAUGGCAUUAUCUUUAUUUAUAUUGUCUUACUAAAAACAAGAUUUAAAGACCAAACUUUAAUAAGAUACAAAGAUAUUAAUUCAGAAUCAUAUAUAUCCUAACUACCCCAUAGGAUCUUAAAUAAUCCCCCUUUCGAUAAAAAUCCUUCGCACGCCACUGCAUUUUGUGCAUGUGUACAAACACAUUUGGUGGAAAACAUUUUCGGUGAAAUGAGGUCACAUGAAAAACGAAAAUUAAAAUGAGCGAGUGGAGAGAGAAAACAAGAGUGCCUAACCCAACACUCCCCCUGCAAUCGCUUCGACCUCUCUCUCUGUUCCGACGACCCCCCACUCCUACCCAUUCUGGUGAUCGCCGCACCCACAUGUGACGUGCUGACGGAAAGCGAAAAGACAACAACAACCACGGCCAGAAGAACGGCAGCACAUUGGGCCACAUUUUGUUUUUUGUUUUUUUUUGGUGGUGUCGCCGAUGGACACACCGAAUCCGAAUUGAAAGCAUUUCACAACAAUGUCCAUUUUCAUAGUGCCAACUGCAACACGCACACUCUAACAACUCAAAUGCACUGAAAGAAAUACUUUACUAAAAUGGUAAACGCAAAAAAAUAAUAAAAUCAGGAAGAGGAUUAACCCAUAUGCUAGAUUAAAAAGCAUCUAAACUUUAAAAUAUAUUUUCUAUAAUUUUUAAAUUAUAUAAAAUUGUUUAUAAAAUAAGAUUUAAGAUAAGUAAGUUCAAGGCCUACUUAGUACCUCCUCCCAAUUUAUCUCAGUGUAAAUAGUAAAACACACCCUCGAACAAAAAGGGACAGUUUGGUUGGCUGAUUGUGAAAAGUUUAAAUUUACAUUUUGUCCAUUUGCUUUGGUCGCUUGUUUCCUAUGAGUGUUGUUAUGGCCAAGUUUUCCUUCGUUUGCUCAGCGUAGCGUGCUAAAAAAACUUAAAAACAAAAAACAAACAGCCAUUCUCGGGGGGUUUUGUUAACUUGAAUUCGAAUUCCUGCCAAAAUUGAGGUGAUCGUUUGCCCCGUCUCUGUUGCAUUCCCCGAAAACCUCCUGCCUGCCCCGCUCCUCUGCCACAAAAAAUGCACAUUCACUCACGCAUUCGCUCUUUGUCGUAAACUUAAGCCAUAAAAGAAAUUUAUUCUCGUAUUUACAAAAGACACUGAGGCCAUCUGAAUUUAUGUUGCACGCUCUCCGCCCCCCAAAAAAAAAACAAAAUGUUAAAAAAGAGCCAUUCAACCGGGAAGAUAAGCCUGGAAUAACGAACAGCAAUCGCAAUGAAAGUUUAUUUGCAGAAUUUCGUUUUUUGGGGGUCGAUCUGAAUCGAAUUGUUUUUUUUUUUUGGCUUCCGAUAAAGAAGUCGGGGAAUGUGCUUGGGGAAAACGGAAAUACAAAGUAUUUGCCCAAAUAAACAUUUUGGAAAACUCUGCUUGUGGAUAUUUCUGAUAACUUUUGGUCUCAGGAAGUUCUUUAAGAUGAAAAUGAUUCCCAAGAGCCUUUUGCUAAUUUCAUUCUUAUCCAAGAUUAUUUGAAUCGCAAAGUUAUUUUUGAUAAAACAUAAAUCGAUUAGGAAUUCGCCAGUCUACAUCAAAUACAUUAAAUAUAAAAACUACCAAAAAGUAUGAAAUAUUCAUUGAAGGUAUUCACUGCAAAAAUCUUAACAGGAAGUAAUGAUUUCUUUGAAAAAAAAUAUAAAACCUUCAAACUUUGAUAAUAUUUUUGGAAAAAGAAAUACAAAGUGAAAUUCCCACUUAAAAUUAAUUAUCAAAAAACAUGAAAUAUUAUUUAAAGCCCAAGGGAUUUAAUCCCAAAGAAAGUAAUAAAUAAAAUACAAAAAAUACAAAUCUUCAAAUUACCCAUUCAAAAACUUAUAUAUCUUUGGCAUAUACAAAGACAAGGAAAUACACAGUAAAACCUCAAAAAACGAAGCUAAUAAAGUUGUAUUAAGGAUUCUUUUAAACUCAAGUCCUGACCUCAAGGAAAUUAUAUAAUAAUUUGCUUGAAUAAAAUAUAAAUCCCUGAAACUUUCAUCUUAACCAUUAGAACAUUUUUUAACCAGAAUUUCCAAAAAAAAAACAGAAAAACAUUUAAAGUACCAUUAAUUCGAAAAUUCCUCUUUUAACCCUAUAAUUUCAAGAACCUUAACCCCGGAUUAUGUACGCUUUCAUGUUUCUCCUAUCUCCGGAGAUAGCAUACGCUUAACCCUUGUUUCCCGCCCGUUUUAAUUGCUACUCAGAAUUAGAGCCACAACAAUUUAUCAUAACCAUGAUUCCGAAAAUAAAAGACAGGGAAAUGUGCAUUUCAGCUAAUAACCCACAGCCUCGGGCCAAAGUUAAGUCAGCAUUAGUGCCAGUCACUCCCCCAACCUCUGCUAUAUAUAUAUACUCGCAUAUAUAUAUAUAUAUAUUUGGUCGGGAAUCAUUCAAGUGCAGCACUUUUGCUGUUGGUUUUACUACCUGUGAUAAGGCCCCGAGGAAAUUAAAAGCCAGUCGUGGAGGGAGCGAGCUCUCUGAUCUUUGAUCUCCUUUCCUUUCCCAGUGUUUUCAGGUUUGUCCAGCCGGGUCUGUCCAUGUCCCUCCCCCUCUGUAGCUCGUGCACUGAACCAAAUUUGCUAACAGUUGGAUAGUCGGUUAGGUUAAGGUUUGAUAAGUAAAUAUUUUUGAUUUAUUAACCAAAAAUAGAUUUAUUUCUUUUUUUGCUAAGUCUUUGAAAAGUGUAUCUUCCUAAUAGGGUCGUUAGAAAUUUGCAUCUAAAAGUCAUUUUAACUCUGAAGCAACCUUAACCCAUAAUAAUAACCUGGUCAUUUGUAUUUCUCCCAGUGUAGUACGUGACUGACCAGUCACAGAAAGCCGGGAGAAAGACCUGGCUAAGGGACAGAGGUGCGUUAUAUGAGCCGAAAAUUGUUUGGCUCUGUUCCUGUGCAUUGUGUUUGUGAGUGUGUGUGUGUGUGUGUGUGUAUGAGUGUUUGUGUGUGGCAGAUAGAGACAUGAACGAAGCGGAUAAUGAUAAUGGCAGUCGGGUUCUGUGAAAGCGAUCAGGUUACGGCCACGAUCCGGGAGGAGAGGACCUCAUCAAGUGACUACCUACGCAUUGGGCACUUUUGAAAUUGGCUAGGAACGGGCUGUAUUAUCCGGCAGAAGGGGAGGGGAGGGGUGAAUCUAAAGGGAGUUAAGGACACAGAUGCAGGGGCAGAUGUGCCUCAUCGACAGAUGCCACAAACUAGCAAAUUAUUCGCAAGCGUGUGCCGGGCCUUGGAAAAGGGAUAUAGUCUAAAGUACCAUUUGGCAGAUGCCAAACUAAUCGAGUUUCUAAAAUAAAUUCAAAAAACAGAAAUGUCUAAAAUAUGCAAAUAUAUAUAUGAGCAAGCAUGUUUCAAUCAUUUCGGCCUCCAUUAUCCAAAUCGAUUUAUUUCAAUUUCCAUUUGUUUGAUCCCCCAGAUGAGAGAGAGGCUAUACUCGUACUCGCGGCAUCAAGUGGCCGCAAUAAAUUUCGAUUUUCUAUGAUCCAAACGUCUACGUUCUGUAGGCACUUUCUUCAUAUGCAUUUCCAAAUAGAGAACAUUGAUUUCACUUAAACGAUUUUACAUUGCGCCCUCGAUCGACGACGUCCAACACAAAAAUUUCUUUUACUUUUCCCCCAAAGUACUGGGAAAUGUUCCCCACUGGAUAUAGUUGCACGUGUCCGUGGCAAGUGCCUCGGAUUUUGGGUUCGAAAUUGUGCGGGCGCAAUGCCAACGGCGGUUAGAUGUCUAUAUAGUAACUAUAUUCGAGUUGAGGCGCGACUUGGGCUACGCCUAGCGCAUACUAAAACGCUCUGGGGCAGGGCUCGUGUUUUCCAACUGGCUUCUAAUUAAUAUGCAGCACUCCUUUCUAGUUCUUCCCUAAGCUAGGGUACUCCCUUCUUUUCUUCCAGCUACAAUUUGGUUAGCUAUUCAUUUCGAUUUGGGUUAUUUAUUGCCAUUUGACUGGACUUGGAGCCACGGACGAGGCUUCAAUUGAAAUUUUGGCACGCAGCGGAGAGAAUAUUUUAAAAUUCGACACACUAGACCUUGAGGAAUGUCGUUAAGAAGUUAUUAACUACUUUUUGGCGGUGAGCAACAAUAAAACAAAAGAAUAUAAUAAAUGAAGGGGGAACAGUUUUGACAUUUACAAUAAGUUUGGUAUUUGCUUAAGAAUUUACAGGCCAACAGUUUGGUUAGAAAUUUAAUGAUUAAAUAUUUGACAUUUAUAUCAAUUAGUCAUGAUGGUAGCGAGAGUAGAGGUCUGAAAUAUGAUUAUUAUUCUGUAUAUUUAAACUUUUAACUUAAACAAUAUUCAACAUUUCUUAGUACAUAAACAGGGCUUAAGCCCUUAUCUGAGCUAAAAGACUUAUCCUAAACAUCAACUUAAGAUAUUUAUUCGGAAACCAAAGUGGCAAUCUGAAAUAGCUUGCAUAGCUGAAUCGGUUACCCUCGAAGUACUUAUCCCCGGCAUUAUGGCUUUCCACUUCUUAUGUAUUAUGGCUCGUAAAUUCUGGAAAUAUUUCCACCAAGCCGCCACAGCAUCUGCGGCUCUUUUCCGCUUUUUUUCGCUUUUGACUUUGACUUCUGGCUGCCGCUGAAUCAGCAGUUGGGUUCUCCAUUAUCGUGCCGAUCAUCAGUGCAUUUGUAGGGAGGGGUUAUGCUAUGUACAACUCUUAUAUCGUAUAUAUAAUCGUAUAUAUAUAAUCGUACCCCACUUGAGUGGUGCUGCACCACCACUCCGCCCGCCUCCACUCCACCCCCUCGAUAAGCCCGCACUCCGCGGACGACAACUCAUUCAGCGGCAGGCGAUUCGCCAGCAACGUUAAGUAAAUUGAUUCUUUAAUUGUCGAGAAUUGGUUACCAGUUGGCUUAACUCGCUUUUGCCCGCCGUGCACACCCCCGUCCACAAAGCCCCCAUAUUUGCUGUUGCUUUUGCAGUGUAGAUGUAUGUAGCCAUGGAUGUGGCAUGACUGUGGCUGUGGAUGCAAGCAAAGAAUCAAGAGUCGAGAAUGAGAAUCGGGCGUCGAGCAUUGAGAAUGAAUACCAGGCCAUGGUGAACAGAGAAGACAGCAACGGGUGAGUCAUCUGGGUCCAAAAUAAAUACCCGGGGCCUCCGUUGAGCAGGAAUUUCUGCACAGACUAGGGCAGGGCCCUCACACCCGGCCACUCCCACUCCCCAGCCCGCGACUCCCUCGCAUUGCGAGCAAAACAAAAUCUUUUUUUAUGAUUCGCGGUUGUCGAAGCAUUCGCGGUCAUUUGAUGCCUUCUUGCUCGUUCUCCCACCAGCCCGGGCACUUCAAUUCGCACCAAACAGCCAACAAACACACAAACUGCCAUGAAAUUCAAUCCCUAAAGCGGGAAAAAUAAGAAAGAAAGACCCAGAGAUCUGCACAAGGAAAAACAUGUCCCGAAAGUAAGGCACUCAAAUUCUUCAGCAUUACUUUUUUUGAAAAAAUGCUGAGUUUCGCUUUUUUUUUAAGGAAUUUUUUAGACACUUCUUGGAGUUGUUUUCUUGGUUGUUCCCUUGAAUGUAAUCAUUCCACUAGGGAAUGUAAUACAAAACUAAAUGUAGAGUUAAGUAAUAAAUAAUAUUAUAUUUCUAAGCUAGAAAUAACUUUAUAAAGAAAACAGGUUUAGCACAUAAGCUAAGCUAUUAAAAUACCUUCAACUUGCUAAUUUAUCAUCAUUAAUUACGACUUAUUCAGAUUACAAUUUUAUUACAUUUUCUAUACCAUUCACACAUUACACCUUACUGUAAAAGUAAACAACCUUUUCUCUCAGUGAUCGAAAUGAUCAUCAUUUAAACUCGUUGUUUACCCAUGUCAAGCCCAGUCGGACAACUAUGGAAUAUUAAGUAAAUAUGGUAAAUAUGGACUGAGAAAACAUAAAUUCCUGGCGAAACAUGUCAGCAGAUCAGUCGGAGAUCGGCGGAGCGGUUUCCUACCUCUACAUUGCAUUUCGCAAUCCAAUCAAUCUGAUGAUAAUCGCAUUGUCCAUGGAUUGGGGGUAAAUGGCUCCUACCUAGAGUUGCGGUGAAUUGGUAGGGGCUAAUUAAUACAGGACCCCGAAUCCGAUACCCCUAGUAGGUCGAUCCUCACCCAAACCCUCCUGCUGCUGCUUAGGGCUUUCCUAUUGAUCAUCGGAUUGUUUUUGCUCAUUUCCUGGGCCACGGCACAAUGGCAGAAGACUGGAAUAAUUAACAGCCGUAACCGAUUCGGAAUCACAAAUGGCAAACAGUGAACAGUGAAAAGCAACAGCAACGGCGACCAGCAAAUGGCAAAUGGCAACCUCUCCCCUCUCCUAACCCCUCAUACUUCUAAACACUUCCUACCGACUUCGACUGAAUGAGCCGGGAAAACUUGAAUGCAUUCAGGCGGCCGCCAUUCAGCGAUCGUGAUAAAUAACUGAAUUAAUGUGACGGCCUUUGUACAAUAAAUUAUUGAAUUUACUGUUCGAGUCUCUGUAAAAAGUGCUAAAAUUGCGCAAGUAAUAAAAACAUUAGCGAUUCACAA